Molecule: transfer RNA, 83 nt
Filed under: Chaetosphaeridium globosum
Lineage: Eukaryota; Viridiplantae; Streptophyta; Coleochaetophyceae; Coleochaetales; Chaetosphaeridiaceae
Description: tRNA-Ser
Rfam family: tRNA
About the family: Transfer RNA (tRNA) molecules are approximately 80 nucleotides in length. Their secondary structure includes four short double-helical elements and three loops (D, anti-codon, and T loops).
Source: RNAcentral
GGAGAGGUGGCUGAGUGGCCGAAAGCGGCAGAUUGCUAAUCCGUUGUACACUAGUACCGAGGGUUCGAAUCCCUCUCUCUCCG